UAAUCCUGGCACUGUUGUUACUCUUUUGCGGUGAAUCCCCCUGAGCGGAGGGGCGUUACAGUUUCAAUGCAAAGUGUCGUAUGCGUAUUGCGCGCGAGCCAGGUGGCUGUACUGGCUCACCGGGAGGCACCCGGCACCGCAAAUCCUCUUCAGCAACGUUAAUUGCGAAAAAUAUUGCGAUAAAAAAAGGAGCCGGUUGGGCUCCCUUUUUUACUAAC
RNAcentral lists this small RNA (218 nucleotides) under Mangrovibacter sp. MFB070. RNAcentral's name for it is "Gammaproteobacterial sRNA STnc100". It matches the Rfam family "Gammaproteobacterial sRNA STnc100". Lineage: Bacteria; Pseudomonadati; Pseudomonadota; Gammaproteobacteria; Enterobacterales; Enterobacteriaceae. The record is from Rfam by way of RNAcentral.